RNAcentral lists this signal recognition particle RNA (300 nucleotides) under Cavia porcellus (domestic guinea pig). RNAcentral describes it as "Metazoan signal recognition particle RNA". It matches the Rfam family "Metazoan signal recognition particle RNA". Rfam says of the family: The signal recognition particle (SRP) is a universally conserved ribonucleoprotein. The record is from Rfam by way of RNAcentral. Lineage: Eukaryota; Metazoa; Chordata; Mammalia; Rodentia; Caviidae.
GCCGGACGCGGUGGCGCGCACCUGUAGUCCCAGCUACUUGGGAGGCUGAGGUGGGAGGAUCGCUUGAGUCCAGGAGUUCUGGGCUGCAGUGCGCUAUGCCGAUCGGGUGUCCGCACUAAGUUCAGCAUCAAUAUGGUGACCUCCUGGAAGUGGGGGACCACCAGGUUGCCUAAGGAGGAGUGAACCAGCCCAGGUCGGAAACGGAGCAGGUCAAAACUCCCGUGCUGAUCAGUAGUGGGAUCACGCCUGUGAAUAGCCACUGCACUCCAGCCUGGGCAAUAUAGUGAGACCCUGUCCCUA